CUGAUGCGCUCUGGCUUUGCAGGGGGGACAAGCUAGAAGACUGGGGGAGGGGAAAGGCAGAGGGACUUAAGCAAGAGGAAAAAUGAAAGAUGAACUAUUAAUUGAUCAUCUCAUUGGAACCUUACAAAAGCAAUUGAAAUGUAGGAGAUGCUGGUUCCAUGCCUGGGAAAGGCAAAUGAUGAAGCCUAAGGACUGAUUCAGCAAGGAGCAAAGAACAUCCAGAAAAAAUCAUCCUUAGCCUCAGAGAACCAGACCUGAAAGAACCAAGAAACCAUGAACUUUGGUUAUUAUAAAGUUGUAAGUUGAAAACACAACUUCUUCUUUUUUCCUUUUAAUUGAAAAGAUAGAGACCGUUGCUUGAUGCAAAGCUCCCUGUUGAUUUUUAAAGAUAUGGAAGAACACUCUUAGGUACCUGGCAGUAGAUCUGGAAAGAAUGCCUGAUUUUACCUCUGGCUCGGAAUCCGCCUGCUUCCCCCACGUAUUGCCCAUCCCCCGCCCCACACACACGUCUGAACAAUCCUUUCCGGAAGGAGUGGGACUACCCCACAGUGGCUGGCAGUUUUCCCGGGCUCUCUUCCACUGUAGCAGAAUCUCGAGAAGGCUGAACUCCAGCCGAGGCUGCUGCUGGAGUGUCAGCCUGCAUGGUUCUGAUCCCUGGAUCCUUCUUCUUCCAGAAGCCCCCCGAGGAUAAUAUCAUUGACCAGGAAUUAAGACCCAACCCUCCGCCUUAAAACCCUGGGCAGAGAGGAUCUGGCUACCUACGGGAUUGCAGGGAGAAUUCCAGCCCAUGCAUGGUCUGCUGCGGUGCUGGGUCCUUUGAGGUUAAUGCCAAGUUAUGGAGCUUCAGCUCGCAGAGCUUCUUCAGAUUCUGGGGAAAAGCCAGCUGCAAGACAAUCGAGUGUGCUUCGAUGACAAUCGCUCUACUCUGCAGGGGACUCCUGGUGCUUUCGGGGCAGCGUCAGAGAAAAAACAAAAAAAACUAUCUGCACAUGACAAAAUAAAAUGGCUGUGGUUAACCUA
Zalophus californianus (California sea lion) is the source of this 1020-nucleotide long non-coding RNA. RefSeq lists it as uncharacterized. The record is from RefSeq and is a predicted model, not a curated record. NCBI's taxonomy places the organism in Eukaryota, Metazoa, Chordata, Mammalia, Carnivora, Otariidae. The transcript is spliced from 4 exons.